CCGCCCGCCGGGGAGGAGCCAGCGAAGCUGUCAUGAGUCGCUUUAAGUUCAUUGAUAUUGGCAUCAACCUGACAGAUCCUAUGUUCAGAGGAAUUUAUAGGGGGACACAAAAGCAUCAAGAUGACUUACAAGAUGUAAUAGAAAGAGCUGUCCAGAUUGGUGUUAAAAAGUUUAUGAUUACAGGUGGAAAUCUACAAGACAGUAGAGAUGCACUGCAGUUGGCACACACAAAUGACAUGUUUUUCAGUACAGUUGGAUGUCAUCCUACAAGAUGUGAUGAAUUUGAACAGAAUAACCCUGAUCAUUACUUGAAGGAACUGCUAACCCUUGCUGAGAACAACAAGGGCAAAGUUGUGGCCAUAGGGGAGUGUGGACUCGAUUUUGAUCGACUUCAGUUUUGUCCCAGAGACACUCAGCUCAAAUAUUUUGAAAAACAAUUUGAACUGUCAGAACAAACAAAAUUACCCAUGUUUCUUCAUUGUCGAAACUCACAUGCUGAAUUUUUGGACAUAAUGAGAAGAAACAGAGAUCGAUGUGUGGGUGGUGUGGUGCAUUCGUUUGAUGGCACCAAGGAAGCAGCCGCCGCUUUGAUUGACCUGGACCUUUACAUAGGGUUUAAUGGUUGCUCACUGAAAACUGAAGCUAAUUUGGAAGUUUUGAAAUCAAUACCUAAUGAAAAAUUAAUGAUAGAGACAGAUGCACCUUGGUGUGGAGUUAAAAGUACACAUGCUGGAUCAAAAUAUAUAAAAACUUCAUUUCCUACCAAAAAGAAAUGGGAACAUGGGUACUGUUUAAAAGAUAGAAAUGAACCCUGCCACAUAAUGUGAUCUUGCUAGAAUCGCUACUGCUGCUCAUCAGGCAAAGCUGUUUUGUCAGAGACUGCAAGACGAGACCCCCCUCCCCAGUCACACCUCGUCCUUCUUUUGCUGGCAUUGCUUUGAGUGUUCAAGCAGCUGGUUCCUGCUGUAUGCUAAUUGACCAAUCAUCAAAUACUGGAAGUUAUGGCUGCAGUGAGAGAAGAGGAUCCGCUGGAAUUAGCCAACACACUAUAUAACAACACCAUUAAAGUGUUUUUUUCCUGACUUGA
Molecule: RNA transcript, 1087 nt
Organism: Jaculus jaculus (lesser Egyptian jerboa)
Lineage: Eukaryota; Metazoa; Chordata; Mammalia; Rodentia; Dipodidae
Gene: Tatdn1
Gene name: TatD DNase domain containing 1
Exons: 13
Source: RefSeq, a predicted model, not a curated record